RNAcentral lists this ribosomal RNA (2297 nucleotides) under marine metagenome. RNAcentral's name for it is "bacterial LSU rRNA". It matches the Rfam family "Bacterial large subunit ribosomal RNA", at positions 656 to 2925 of the family's 2925-position model. The record is from RNAcentral.
AAGGUCGGAGCCGUAGCGAAAGCAAGUCUGAAUAGGGCGUUGAGUAAUAUGCGGUAGACCCGAAACCGAGUGAUCUAGCCAUGGCCAGGAUGAAGUCCCGGUAACACGGGAUGGAGGUCCGAACCCACCAGCGUUGAAAAGCUGGGGGAUGAGCUGUGGUUAGGGGUGAAAGGCCAAUCAAACUCGGAGAUAUCUGGUUCUCGCCGAAAUGCCUUUAGGGGCAGCGUCAUGUUAGUAUACCGGGGGUAGAGCACUGAAUGGGCUAGGGGGCCUACAAGCUUACCGACCCCAAUCAAACUCCGAAUACCGGUAUUAUAAUGCAUGGCAGUGAGCUCAUGGGGGAUAAGCUUCAUGAACAAAAGGGAAAGAACCCAGACCAUCAGCUAAGGUCCCAAAGUCGAUGCUAAGUGAUAAAGGAUGUCAAAUCGCCCAGACAGCUAGGAGGUUGGCUUAGAAGCAGCCAUCCUUUAAAGAAAGCGUAAUAGCUCACUAGUCAAGGGGUUUUGCGCCGAUAAUUUCCGGGACUAAGCAUCGCACCGAAGCUAUGGAUCUCAAUACUUGUGUAUUGAGAUGGUAGGCGAGCGUUCCAUCGACCGUCGAAGGUUGACCCGUGAGGGCAGCUGGAGGAAAUGGAAAUGAGUAUGCUGGCAUGAGUAGCGAUAAAGCCUGUGAAAUGCAGGCUCGCCGCAAGCCCAAGGUUUCCUGAGUAAAGUUAAUCUGCUCAGGGUUAGUCGGACCCUAAGCCGAGGCCGAAAGGCGUAGGCGAUGGAAAACAGGUUUAAUAUUCCUGUACCAGUGCAACAUUGUUUGAACUAAGGGGGGACGCAGAAGUGAAAGGUCAGCCCGGUUUUGAUAGUCCGGGUUUAAGUGCGUAGGGAGUCCUGGUAGGCAAAUCCGCCGGGACAUUAAUCCUGAGACACGAAUAGGAGAGCCUAGCUCAUAAACUGACCCUAAUCAUGCUGCCAAGAAAAUCCUCUAUGUUAGAUGCUGCGCUGACCGUACCGUAAACGGACACACGUGGGCGAGGAGAGAAUCCUCAGGCGCUUGUGAGAAUCCAGGUUAAGGAACUCGGCAAAUUAGCCCCGUAACUUCGGGAGAAGGGGUGCCCUUAUUAGGUGAAAGACUUCGCGUCUGGAGCCGAAAAGGGUCGCAGUGACCAGGCUCAAUCGACUGUUUACUAAAAACACAGGUCUCUGCUAAGUCGCAAGACGACAUAUAGGGACUGACACCUGCCCGGUGCUGGAAGGUUAAAUGGAGGGGUUAGCUUCGGCGAAGCUCUGAAAUGAAGCCCCAGUAAACGGCGGCCGUAACUAUAACGGUCCUAAGGUAGCGAAAUUCCUUGUCGGGUAAGUUCCGACCUGCACGAAUGGUGUAACGAAUUGAGCACUGUCUCGACCUGGAGCACAGCGAAAUUGAAGUGUCGGUGAAGAUACCGGCUACCCGCGGCAGGACGAAAAGACCCCGUGAACCUUUACUACAACUUAGCAUUGGAUUCUGGUUCUGCAUGUGCAGGAUAGGUGGGAGGCUGUGAAACUUGGACGCUAGUCCGGGUGGAGCCAACCUUGAAAUACCACCCUUGUAUUGCUAGAACUCUAAUCCCGACCCGUGAAUCCGGGCGAGAGACAGUGUUAGGUGGGUAGUUUGACUGGGGCGGUCUCCUCCCAAAAGGUAACGGAGGAGCUCAAAGGUUCCCUCAGCACGGUCGGUAAUCGUGCGUAGAGUGCAAAGGCAUAAGGGAGCUUAACUGCGAGGUCGACGGACCGAGCAGAUGCGAAAGCAGGACUUAGUGAUCUGGUGGUUCCGUAUGGAAGGGCCAUCACUCAACGGAUAAAAGGUACUCCGGGGAUAACAGGCUUAUCUCCCCCAAGAGUUCACAUCGACGGGGAGGUUUGGCACCUCGAUGUCGGCUCAUCACAUCCUGGAGCUGGAGAAGGUUCCAAGGGUUGGGCUGUUCGCCCAUUAAAGUGGUACGUGAGCUGGGUUUAGAACGUCGUGAGACAGUUCGGUCUCUAUCCGCCGUGGGCGCAAGAUAUUUGAGGGAAUCUGCUUCUAGUACGAGAGGACCGAAGUGGACGAACCUCUGGUGUACCAGUUGUUCCAUCAGGAGCACGGCUGGGUAGCUAUGUUCGGUCCGGAUAAGCGCUGAAAGCAUAUAAGCGCGAAACCGAUCCCAAGAUUAGAUAUCUCUAACAUAAGUUAAUAAGGCUCGUUGUAGACUACGACGUUGAUAGGCUGCAGGUGUAAGUGUAGUAAUACAUUCAGCUGAGCAGUACUAAUAAGCCGAACGGCUUUACCAA